RNAcentral lists this ribosomal RNA (326 nucleotides) under uncultured eukaryote. RNAcentral describes it as "partial 18S ribosomal RNA". It matches the Rfam family "Eukaryotic small subunit ribosomal RNA", at positions 1470 to 1796 of the family's 1831-position model. The record is from RNAcentral.
CCCUUAGAUGUUCUGGGCCGCACGCGCGCUACACUGAUGCAUUCAACGAGUUUCUUCCUGGUCCGAGAGGAAUGGGUAACCUUUUGAAAGUGCAUCGUGAUAGGGAUAGAUUAUUGCAAUUAUUAAUCUUGAACGAGGAAUUCCUAGUAAACGCAGAUCAUCAAUCUGCAUUGAUUACGUCCCUGCCCUUUGUACACACCGCCCGUCGCACCUACCGAUUGAAUGGUCCGGUGAAGCCUCGGGAUUGUGGUUGGUUUCCUUUAUUGGAGAUUGAUUGCGAGAACUUGUCUAAACCUUAUCAUUUAGAGGAAGGUGAAGUCGUAACA